RNAcentral lists this transfer RNA (77 nucleotides) under Bacillota bacterium. RNAcentral's name for it is "Firmicutes bacterium (anaerobic digester metagenome) tRNA-Lys". It matches the Rfam family "tRNA". From Rfam's summary of the family: Transfer RNA (tRNA) molecules are approximately 80 nucleotides in length. Their secondary structure includes four short double-helical elements and three loops (D, anti-codon, and T loops). RNAcentral also lists the same sequence under 1 other name. Lineage: Bacteria; Bacillati; Bacillota. The record is from RNAcentral.
GCCCCGCUAGCUCAGCAGGCUAGAGCACCUGACUCUUAAUCAGGGUGUCCGGGGUUCGAGUCCCUGGCGGGGCACCA